GAUUACCCGCCGAACUUAAGCAUAUCACUAAGCGGAGGAAAAGAAACUAACCAGGAUUCCCCUAGUAACGGCGAGUGAAGAGGGAAUAGCCCAGCACCGAAGCCUGCGGUAGGUUUACUGCUAGGCAAUGUGGUGUUUGGGUCGACUCGCGGGAUUGCCACUCCACUCGAAGUCCAGCACUGAGUAUGGUUCCCUGGAUUUGGCCCAGAGAGGGUGAAAGGCCCGUGCGAGUGGAGGUUCAGACAUGUGAGGCAAUUCACCAGGUCGACCUUCGAGUCGGGGUGUUUGUGAAAUGCAGC
Molecule: ribosomal RNA, 299 nt
Filed under: Spirometra erinaceieuropaei
Lineage: Eukaryota; Metazoa; Platyhelminthes; Cestoda; Diphyllobothriidea; Diphyllobothriidae
Description: partial 28S ribosomal RNA
Rfam family: Eukaryotic large subunit ribosomal RNA
Source: RNAcentral